ACUCCUACGGGAGGCAGCAGUGGGAAUUUUGGACAAUGGGCGAAAGCCUGAUCCAGCAAUGCCGCGUGUGUGAAGAAGGCCUUCGGGUUGUAAAGCACUUUUGUCCGGAAAGAAAUCCUUGGCUCUAAUACAGUCGGGGGAUGACGGUACCGGAAGAAUAAGCACCGGCUAACUACGUGCCAGCAGCCGCGGUAAUACGUAGGGUGCAAGCGUUAAUCGGAAUUACUGGGCGUAAAGCGUGCGCAGGCGGUUUGCUAAGACCGAUGUGAAAUCCCCGGGCUCAACCUGGGAACUGCAUUGGUGACUGGCAGGCUAGAGUAUGGCAGAGGGGGUAGAAUUCCACGUGUAGCAGUGAAAUGCGUAGAGAUGUGGAGGAAUACCGAUGGCGAAGGCAGCCCCCUGGGCCAAUACUGACGCUCAUGCACGAAAGCGUGGGGAGCAAACAGGAUUAGAUACCCUGGUAGGCUCUGC
Molecule: ribosomal RNA, 471 nt
Filed under: uncultured bacterium
Lineage: Bacteria
Description: bacterial SSU rRNA
Rfam family: Bacterial small subunit ribosomal RNA
Source: RNAcentral